This 565-nucleotide ribosomal RNA is filed under the name uncultured archaeon. RNAcentral describes it as "bacterial SSU rRNA". It matches the Rfam family "Archaeal small subunit ribosomal RNA", at positions 314 to 879 of the family's 1478-position model. The record is from RNAcentral.
GCAAUCGCCCUUCGGGGUGCACCAGGCGCGAAAACUUUACAAUGCCGGCAACGGCGAUAAGGGAACCUCGAGUGCCAGGUUACAAAUCUGGCUGUCGUGAUGCCUAAAAAGCAUUGCAUAGCAAGGGCCGGGCAAGACCGGUGCCAGCCGCCGCGGUAACACCGGCGGCUCGAGUGGUAACCGUUAUUAUUGGGUCUAAAGGGUCUGUAGCCGGCCGGGUAAGUCUCUUGGGAAAUCUGGCAGCUUAACUGUCAGGCUUUCAGGAGAUACUGCCUGGCUCGAGGCCGGGAGAGGUGAGAGGUACUUCAGGGGUAGGGGUGAAAUCUUGUAAUCCUUGAAGGACCACCAGUGGCGAAGGCGUCUCACCAGAACGGACCUGACGGCAAGGGACGAAAGCUAGGGGCACGAACCGGAUUAGAUACCCGGGUAGUCCUAGCCGUAAACGAUACUCGCUAGGUGUCGGCCACGGUGCGACCGUGGUCGGUGCCGUAGGGAAGCCGUGAAGCGAGCCACCUGGGAAGUACGGCCGCAAGGCUGAAACUUAAAGGAAUUGGCGGGGGAGCAC